This 109-nucleotide ribosomal RNA is filed under the name Xenopus laevis (African clawed frog). Lineage: Eukaryota; Metazoa; Chordata; Amphibia; Anura; Pipidae. The record is from RNAcentral.
ACCUAAGGCCACACCACCCUGAAAGUGCCAGAUCUUGGAAGCUAACCGGGGCUGGGCCUAGUUAGAACCUGGAUGGGAGACCUCCUUGGAAUACCAGGUGUCAUAGGCU